Molecule: RNA transcript, 2902 nt
Organism: Brachypodium distachyon (stiff brome)
Lineage: Eukaryota; Viridiplantae; Streptophyta; Magnoliopsida; Poales; Poaceae
Exons: 3
Source: RefSeq, a predicted model, not a curated record
UACAAAGGUCCUGUGUUUCUGACAAGUGGGUCCAUGCGGGGUCUGAGUAAAAAAGCGCGAGACAAAAGCGGCUGUGUAAACCGGGUCCAUGCACCUUCUCUUGCGCGGACCGUCGAUUAAAGCGGUGUACGGCAGCGAUGGGCCUAUGAGGGCGUCGGGUUGUGAUGGACCCUCUUCGGGGGCUUUUAAUACUUCUGGUCCCACGUACAGAGGGGCCUGCCCUUGCCACGCGGUCGCGGAUAAGACGAGACGCUGACAUGCGGACCGUGUUUGGUUGGGCCUACUGGUCAGUGUUUGAACUGAGUUGGUAACUUAUAAUGACGUGUUGGUGACGGAGAAGGAGUCGUGGGGGAAUGGAGAAAUGAUGUCGACAUAGUGUGGUCAGAGGGAUCGCGGCCCCGCUGUGGUCGAUGGGGAUUCCUUUAAUUAGCAUCCGUUUGGUCAGCUUAUUGGGCUGGCACAGAGUGCCAUCUAAUGGGCAUGGGCCCAACAGUAGUACAAGAAUCCUCAGCUAGUUAAAGAAAAAACUAUAAACGGGAACAGGAGUUGUUGUUCUGUCAAGAAAACCCUAGCCGUCGUUUUGAGUAAAUUUCAAUUUCCAGCGGUUCCUCUCGUUUCUCAUGGCGAUCUAUCCUCUAGAGACGAGGGGAACCACGGAUCAACGUCAUGCGGCUUUUCAAAAUCUACGAGGUUAGUUCAGAUUAUGCAAGCAUAUUAUUCUGCAAUUUUGUCAACGAAUACAUGGAGAAGCAUCAAGAUGCGAAGGAUAAAUCAAGAGAAGUUUAUUUCGAACAACUACGACGAAGCUUUUAGUUUUGUUGAGUAUCUUUAUUAUUUGUGUUCGUUCGUGUAUCAAUCUUAUGUACUUUGUCUUUGAAUCAAUAAAGCCAGAUCGUUGCUCUAAAAAAAAGUUAAAGAUAAAACUACUAGUGAAGAGCAUUCGCUCAACAAAAAAAAAACUGAUCUACUCGCCCACGCUACGUCUGGCCUCGCUGCGCCGCCAAAACUCCGGCAUGGAGCUCCUCGAAGCGGCCCUCACGGAUUUCACUGGCACGCACAACUAAUCGUAGCUGCCAGUAGUCCUCGGCUCCCACCGGCGCCUUCCCGCCAUGGUCUCGAACCUGGUUUUGGCGGCGGCCACAUGCGGGUGGCAGGCAACGGUGUCGUCCUAUGAGCUGUCCCGGCCGGCUCUCCUCCGUUCCAUCCUACUGCGGCGGUUUCCGAAUCGAUCUCUGCCACGGCCGCACCUAGUGUUGGGCAGCAAAAGUAGACUGUAAUACCCUGAAUUUUUAUAAAGGUUAAUUUCAGAUUGGAACGAAAGAAUUGACCAGAAUUUGACUUUCCGAAUCACAGGCCGUACGGAAAAUCGAAGACCACGGUUAGAUUCGUCUCGUCCAGUUGAUCGAAAUUGACUAUAGGUUCGUCAAUUUCGGAGCCCGGAUCAAUUUGCCGCAACACCCUUUAUUUUCAGCCUUUAAGUGAAUUUGGAAUUAAAGAAAAAAAAAACCCAGCGUGCGGUGUGGAACUGAGUCGGAGAAGGAUCGGGGACCUUGGUUUAAUCCCCUGUUUUACUGCCCAAGGCCGAGAGCAACCCCAGCCGCCAACGCCUAGGGUUAGUUCGCCGUUGCCGCCGUCACGAGCUCGCCUCUGCUGCUGUCUGGUGACUGCCCUGCUGCUGGUGCCGCCGUGGUUGCAGUCCGCGCUGCUCGCCGUCGUUGGAGUCCUCGUUGGUCGCCGUCGCUACUGCCAGGUACGAGUUGGGCUGUUUCUCUGCCGCCUGGAAGUAUUUUCCUCGCUCGCUGCAACUCGUUCCAGUGAAUUGAAUUGACAAGUUCUGCUCUAGCUGCUGUUGCCCGAUUGAAUCAACUGCUAGUUCAAGCCGCUGGUUGUUUAGCACCUGGAAUUAGUACACUGCUGUUUAGCACCUGGAAUUGUUGCUAGAAGCUGUGUGCAUCGAAUUGAGGUGGCUUGUUUGGUCAGCUUCAGCAGCAUGUCAGGUUUUAGAUGGAUUGUUCUUUUAACCAGAAAGGCUAUCAGUACAUAACAAGUUUGGCAAGUCUGUACUUUUCUGUUUAUUGGAAACAAGACACGAAUCUGGUUUGGUUGGUCUUGGUAAAAGUAAUAAAAUGAGCAGAUUGUGGCUUAAGUUUAAAUGCCUUGUCCAGCCAUGUUUAGUUGUCAGCUCUUUUUAUUAAAUCUUAGGAUUUGAGUUGGUAUUAAGACUUGCUUUACCCCACCGGUCCAGGAGUUUCGGGUAUGAGGCAUAAAUCUGCAGAUUAAUUGUCCGUCCUAUUUCGGGAUUAAGGCAAGUACAUGACGAGCCCCCUUUGACAUUGUUUGCCAACGUUGUUUGGUUAUCCGAGUUGAUAUUUGAAUUCCUUGGGGUUUGUGCUAUCGGAAGGUUUUGUUUUAAGCCAGGGCGGUGAGUAAGUUAUAGACGGUGAGAAAGUUAACGGUGAAUAUUCCAGAAUGCUCCAAUCAAAAAAAAGCGAUGCCACCGAGGCGUCGUGGUCGUGGUGGAGGUCGUGGAAACAAUGGGGGCGGCGGUAGCGACGCAAAUCAGCCUACUGGUAGCAGUCACGGAGAUGCAGAAGCAUCUGUGAGCCAAUCUAGUGAUCAUGAUGCCCCUGCUCCAACUAUGACGCUCAGCAAGUGGUUGGCCAUGCGCUUGGACACUUUUGAUGGAACAGGGACACCCAUGGAGGCAUCAAGUUGGUUGCACACAAUGGAGAAGUACAUGGGUGCCUUAGUGAUGACCCCGCAGGAAAGGGUUGUCUUUGUAGAUUUUCAGCUAAAGGGUUUGGCUGAUGUGUAACAUCCCAAUUUUCAAAACUCUUCAUAUGCAUUGCAUAUCAUAAGCAUCAUGUCACCCUUGCAUUUAAUCAUUUUCAAAACCCUAAAA